GCCGCGUGUGUGAAAAGGUCUUCGGAUUGUAAAGCACUUUAAGUUGGGAGGAAGGGCAGUAAAUUAAUACUUUGCUGUUUUGACGUUACCGACAGAAUAAGCACCGGCUAACUCUGUGCCAGCAGCCGCGGUAAUACAGAGGGUGCAAGCGUUAAUCGGAAUUACUGGGCGUAAAGCGCGCGUAGGUGGUUCGUUAAGUUGGAUGUGAAAUCCCCGGGCUCAACCUGGGAACUGCAUUCAAAACUGUCGAGCUAGAGUAUGGUAGAGGGUGGUGGAAUUUCCUGUGUAGCGGUGAAAUGCGUAGAUAUAGGAAGGAACACCAGUGGCGAAGGCGACCACCUGGACUGAUACUGACACUGAGGUGCGAAAGCGUGGGGAGCAAACA
This 385-nucleotide ribosomal RNA is filed under the name Pseudomonas sp. 4CBAM. Its description in RNAcentral is "bacterial SSU rRNA". It matches the Rfam family "Bacterial small subunit ribosomal RNA", at positions 396 to 774 of the family's 1533-position model. The record is from RNAcentral. Lineage: Bacteria; Pseudomonadati; Pseudomonadota; Gammaproteobacteria; Pseudomonadales; Pseudomonadaceae.